AUUGAACGCUGGCGGCAUGCUUUACACAUGCAAGUCGAACGGCAGCGCGGGCUUCGGCCUGGCGGCGAGUGGCGAACGGGUGAGUAAUACGUCGGAACGUGCCCAGUAGUGGGGGAUAGCUCGGCGAAAGCCGGAUUAAUACCGCAUACGACCUGAGGGUGAAAGCGGGGGAUCUUCGGACCUCGCGCUAUUGGAGCGGCCGAUGGCAGAUUAGCUAGUUGGUGGGGUAAAGGCCUACCAAGGCGACGAUCUGUAGCUGGUCUGAGAGGACGACCAGCCACACUGGGACUGAGACACGGCCCAGACUCCUACGGGAGGCAGCAGUGGGGAAUUUUGGACAAUGGGCGAAAGCCUGAUCCAGCAAUGCCGCGUGUGUGAUGAAGGCCUUCGGGUUGUAAAGCACUUUUGGCGGGAACGAAAAGGACUGUGCCAAUACCACGGUUCGAUGACGGUACCCGCAGAAUAAGCACCGGCUAACUACGUG
This 484-nucleotide ribosomal RNA is filed under the name uncultured bacterium. RNAcentral describes it as "partial 16S ribosomal RNA". It matches the Rfam family "Bacterial small subunit ribosomal RNA", at positions 29 to 507 of the family's 1533-position model. The record is from RNAcentral.